Unclassified non-coding RNA from Callithrix jacchus (white-tufted-ear marmoset), 291 nucleotides. It matches the Rfam family "Metazoan signal recognition particle RNA". Rfam says of the family: The signal recognition particle (SRP) is a universally conserved ribonucleoprotein. It is involved in the co-translational targeting of proteins to membranes. Lineage: Eukaryota; Metazoa; Chordata; Mammalia; Primates; Cebidae. The record is from Ensembl.
AGGCACGGUGGCACAUGCCCGUAGUCCCACCUCCUCCUGAGGUGGGAGGAUCGCUUGAGCCCAGGAGUUCUAGGCUGUAGUGUGCUAUGCCUAUCUGGUGUCUGCACAAAGUAUGGCAUCAAUACGGUGACCUCCCAGGAGUGGGGGACCACCAGGUUGCCUAAGGAGGGGUGAACCGGCCCAGGUUGGAAACGGCGCAGGUCAAAACUCCUGUGCUGAUCAGUAGUGGGAUCGUGCCUGUGAAUAGCCACUGCACUCCAGCCUGGGCAACAUAACAAGACCCCGUCUCUG